CCGGGCACUGACAAGCCGGGCAGCCUCAGGUGUGCUCUCAGUGGGCAACCGCGGAGGCUCUCUGGCUGCUCAGAUGAGCAAGUUACCUGGGAACAACUGAUCUGCUGAGAAAUCUGAUGGCUGCCCCAUGAGGGGAACCAGGUCACUAGGGUCGCUGGGUGAAGGCUGCUCACCCUUCGAACAGUCUAACCCUCUGUGAUCAGGCUGUUUUAAUCCCCACGUCUCAAGACUCUCACAAAUCUGGAACUGGUUCGUAGUCUAAGGCCCUGGCAGGGAUAAUAUGUUUAAUUGGCUUGAAAGCAGAAAACGCAAAGUACAGGACAUGCAGCAAAGUUAGUUUUGUAAUUACAAGAAGUCCGGUGCCCUUCAGAAGGGUUACAUGUGGGUAUUUCUCCAAAAUGGAUUGUUUUUUGUUUUGUUUUGGGGAGUUUGUCUUUUUGUUUUUGUUUCAUGAUGUUUUUAUCUACUGCAUAGAAUUUGGAGGAAAAAGCCUAGGAUUUGAAAUGUGGACAGGAAUUUAAAUCCUUGGUGGGCACAUAGCAGCUGUGUGACCAUGAGCAUGAUACCUAACCUCUGUGAGGUACAAUGGGAAUAAUUAUAUCCACCUCUUAGUGAGGUCAUGAAAAUAAAUUGAGAUAAAACAUAUGAAAGCACCCAGCACUGGCAUACUCAGUCCAUAUUAGUUUCUCAUUCUCUUCGUUAUUUUCAUUAUCAUCUUUAUCACAUCCUCACCUUUUUUCAUCAUUGUCAGUAGCUGCAGCAUCAACCCAGUGCCCUGACUUUCAAGACGACUAUGAAAACACCCCAACUGCUGCUAAAUUACCAGCAACAAGGAUCUGUGCAGCCAUCCAGCCCAGAACACAACAAGAAUAGAGUUGAUGAGCCCUCUUUUCCUCAACAAACACCUGUGAAAAAUGGGCCAAUUCACAGCUGCAAUCGUUGGGAGAAUUUCCUGUCUGGGAGUCUGGAAACUGCCAAGAGUGGAAAGCUGCAGCCAGCCAGCGAGGCCUCUGUUGUCACUGGCCCAAACAACAACAAAAACAACCGCAACAACAACAACAACAACAAAACAUGCCACGUGUGCACUGGCAUAUACAAACACGCCCACAGAACCAAACCAAGCGGACAAGGCUUCAAGGAGAGCUUCUGGGCGGCUCAUUCCCGCGGCGAGGCAUAUCCCUUGGCAUGGUGCCACUGCAGCCCAGCUCCCAGCCCCCCCGCCAUCUGUCAUCAGCGCUCUGCCUACUGUAAGUGUGCCGACACAGUACACGGAGGCUAACAAGUAGCAAAUGGAGGGGAAGAAAAAACAAAGCCACUGCAGUCAGUGGGAGAGGUGGCUAGGGCUUUGACAUAAACUGAC
Molecule: long non-coding RNA, 1360 nt
Filed under: Pan paniscus (pygmy chimpanzee)
Lineage: Eukaryota; Metazoa; Chordata; Mammalia; Primates; Hominidae
Description: lncRNA (ENSPPAG00000045507.1)
Source: RNAcentral